RNAcentral lists this ribosomal RNA (848 nucleotides) under uncultured bacterium. Its description in RNAcentral is "bacterial SSU rRNA". It matches the Rfam family "Bacterial small subunit ribosomal RNA", at positions 8 to 872 of the family's 1533-position model. The record is from RNAcentral.
AGAGUUUGAUCAUGGCUCAGGACGAACGCUGGCGGCGUGCUUAACACAUGCAAGUCGAGCGAUGAAGCACCUUCGGGUGUGAAUUAGCGGCGAACGGGUGAGGAACACGUGAGAAAUCUGCCUUCAACACUGGGAUAACUCCGGGAAACCGGGGCUAAUACCGGAUAUGAAAUCUGCGGGCAUCCGCGGAUUUGGAAAGUUUUUCGGUUGAAGAUGAUCUCGCGGCCUAUCAGCUUGUUGGUGAGGUAAUGGCUCACCAAGGCGACGACGGGUAGCCGGCCUGAGAGGGCGACCGGCCACACUGGGACUGAGACACGGCCCAGACUCCUACGGGAGGCAGCAGUGGGGAAUAUUGGGCAAUGGAGGAAACUCUGACCCAGCGACGCCGCGUGAGGGAUGAAGGCCUUCGGGUUGUAAACCUCUUUCAGUAGGGAAGAAGCGAAAGUGACGGUACCUACAGAAGAAGCACCGGCUAACUAUGUGCCAGCAGCCGCGGUAAUACAUAGGGUGCAAGCGUUGUCCGGAAUUAUUGGGCGUAAAGAGCUCGUAGGUGGUUCGAUACGUCGGAUGUGAAAAUCAGGGGCUCAACCCCUGACCUGCAUCCGAUACGGUCGAGCUAGAGUUUGGUAGGGGAGACUGGAAUUCCUGGUGUAGCGGUGGAAUGCGCAGAUAUCAGGAGGAACACCGAUGGCGAAGGCAGGUCUCUGGGCCAAUACUGACACUGAGGAGCGAAAGCGUGGGGAGCGAACAGGAUUAGAUACCCUGGUAGUCCACGCCGUAAACGGUGGGCGCUAGUUGUGCGAACCUUCCACGGUUUGUGCGACGCAGCUAACGCAUAAGCGCCCCGC